UUAUGGCCACACCAUGUUGAAACACCCUUUCCCUUAAGAUCACCGAAGUUAAGCAACAUCGAAGGCGAUGAGUACCUAGAUGAGAGACUGCUGAGAAAUACUAGGUGCUGUAAG
Acanthosepion pharaonis is the source of this 114-nucleotide non-coding RNA. The record is from the annotation of a GenBank genome assembly. Lineage: Eukaryota; Metazoa; Mollusca; Cephalopoda; Sepiida; Sepiidae.